This is a long non-coding RNA of Triticum aestivum (bread wheat), 5648 nucleotides long. RefSeq lists it as uncharacterized. The record is from RefSeq and is a predicted model, not a curated record. The transcript has 5 exons. Lineage: Eukaryota; Viridiplantae; Streptophyta; Magnoliopsida; Poales; Poaceae.
UGCAUGUGCGUGUGGGGCCUGGCUGACCGAUGUGCGUGCCUCACCUCCAUCUGCAGUUGGAGAGAGAUGGACUGGCAAAAUAUCUCCGCCAGCCCUUGGCCGCCUCUAGUUUCCCUUUCCCUCUCUCCAAUCUCCACCGCCGCCGCCGCCCCUGCCUCCUCUCGGUUUCUCAUGCUGCCGCUCCAACGAAGAGCGUGCCGCUGGUGCUUAGAUUCCGGGGACAUCUCAUGGUCUUCAUUGACGGAUGGAGGGGAAGAGCAGCCGCGCCAGGCGGCAUGCCUCGCCGUGCCGCAUGGCAGCCGCUGCCCCAUGCUUUGUUGGCGCCGUCUCAUCGUCUUCAUAGACAUGCGCAUCUCUGUCAGGAUCGCGCGUCCAUGCCUCCCAUCUACCGGGCUGGAGUGGCCGCCUCCUGGUUGAGGCAUCGCGCGGCAUCGAACGUCCUCGGCUGCUGCCGCUGCUGCUGGCCAGGUCCCUCCUCUCGCACCUGCCGAGGUCGCAUCUUCGUCGAGGCAUCAAGACGCCUCAGUUUCCUUUUCUUUUUCCCUAUUUAUGAUCUUGCACUUGUUUCUUCUUUUUGGACCUCUCUGUCCGCUGAAAUUGCAGGCUGAGGUGAGCACCAUGAAGAUGAUGUCAGUGGCUGAUAUAGAGAGCUCCUCGAACAGGGAAGUAGCAGUUCUGGAGGAACUCGAAGAUGUCAUGUUUCAGUUUUGAUGUGAAUCGCUAAAACAACAAUUAGAAGAGACCGUGCAUUGCAGGUUCAGAACCAAUUUAUAUGGGUAUGUACAAGCUGUUUGUUUCUAUCUUGGUUUUAAAUUGGUUUUACAUUGGUGAAUUAGCAUAGCAUACUGAGUGUUGAGCUUUAUUUCAUCUACAUUUGGUUCUGAACAUGUAUGCUUUUAAGAAACUUUGUAUUCUUCUCUAUUUUGAAGAGCCCACAAAGAGACUAAAAGAAUGGUUGUAGGUUCCUUUCUGUGGUUUAUGAACUAUGGGACUAGGCCGAACUAACUUUGUUUAACAAAUAACUUCCUCAUCCCUAAAUAAAUCUGUAUUUGGCUGAUUUCAAGAGAAAUGUUUGAUCAUCAUUUUUAGAUGAUUGACAUAUGGAUCUUAGCGAGAUUCAAGGGAACGCGUGAUGUGACUGUGCCUUGUAUAAGCAAAGUUGAGCUGUUGAGGUAAUUAUUCUGUAGGUGCCUUCUAUAAACAGUUAAACACGCAACACAUCUAUAUGUUCUUUUCAUAUGGUUCCUUAUAUAAGUACAUUUCAGUAAUAUGUGUCGUGUUUUACUUUUGUCCAUGGUGACUAUGGCAUUCUUGGCUUCUGUUAUUAUGGUUGAGUGUAAAAUUGGUUGUUGAACUGAGGAAUAUGCUAAUAAAUCAUUUGUCUCAUUCGUUCUUGUAAAUAGUUUCUACUCCAUGUGGUUAUGAGCUGCUACAUUUUUCCAGUUACAAGUGUCCUUUGCUUAAUGGCUCAGUUUCUUUUGCUCGAGCCACACCUGCAAGCCCGAUGUAAAACUCACCGCGUGCACCGUGUCGUGGCUUAGUCUCUUCGAGUUUCAGCGUUGACAUCAUGUUUCUCUAACUGGCUUGCUUAGCCAUGGACAGUGAGACCACCCUUCAUUGAUUUCUUCAUCUAUAUGUUUAUUCUAGGCAUCAUGUUUUUGUUGGCUGCACAAUUGUUCAAACUCUAUCCUAGCUGUAGGUUUAUUUGAGGGAGAUUGAGUAGGCGUGUUUAUUUUCUAUAUAUAAAAUGGAUUCAACAUCCAACUUUAGUCAAGAACAAACCAUUAUUGUUUUUACGGUUUUAUGAGGUGUUGCAAGAUUGAUUUGAGUUGUUCUCAUUUAUGGUUUUCAGAUUAUUCUAUCCUGAAGUAUUGGUUUAUUACCGAGGAAGCCUUAAACAGAGAAGCUGAAUGCAGUUUUUGUAUCUUUCAUCAAAGUCCUAAAUGGUCCAAUGAAAAUCUUGGUAUGCACAGUUUCAGAGCUUCAUCACAUUAUAGUAGGGAAAAAUGGUAUGCAAAAUGUCAAAAGCUUCAUUUUGGUCCAUUAGAUAGUUUAUAGCUUUGUCACUGGAGCUGUGACAAAAUAAUCGCAGCUUGUGAAAAUUAUAUACAACCAUGAAUGCUCCAUAGUUUUCCAUGCAACACAGCUACUGAAUCCGUAAGACAUGCUUAUUUCUGGCAGAAUCUUAGUGGAUAAAUUAGCAUUGUGUAAGAUCUGCCAUGAUAGUUUUCUCAAUACCAUUUUGCAUUUUGGGAUUGUUUGAGCACUAAAGAAUGUUAACAGGUUUACCAUUUCUCAUCUCUUUGUGAUAUCCGUAGGUAUUCUGGUGUCUCAGUUAGUCCCCAGCCUCUUUCACUGACCCAUAAAUUAUCUGUCUCUAGGUUUCCUCAAUUGUAUUCUGGUUUAGAACAAGAAAACUAUUUUUGCCUCAGCUACUUUGUUGGUGUCGUGUACAUUGUCAUGGAUUUGAUGUCAAGAAGUUCCCGGUGUUUUAUUAUACUUCCAGUCUCAGUAUAUGAUGGCAUGAUAUUAUGAUAUUACCCUAAACCUGCUCUCCCGCUCAUUCAAAUCAGGAUGUCGGCGGACGCGUCUACUGCGUGUCCCCAUCCGUCCGCAACGUCUGCAACUGUAAUCACAGAAUUAGCAGCGUCCCGCGUCCGCCACUUCUGACUGCUCGCUAUGCCCGGCGGGCACAUGCGGACGUCCGCAUCUGCCUUGCAAACUCUGUAUACAUCAAGCAUAAUACAAUCCGUGCUAGAAAAUGACCAAAGAAACAUCUUUAGUUGCAAAUGAGGCCCAACAUCAUGUAGACAUACAUAAGCUGAAUCUCAUGUAAAAGCGUACACACGCUCAACCUCAUGUACAAUAGUAAUUUAAGAGUUAGGGCCACCUGUUAUAAUAGUUUUUUGACCAAUCAGACUCUGGAAUAUCAAGACGAAUUGCUCCCAACAAAUUUGUGUUAUGCUGACUUCCAUAAAAAAAGUCUAUGCUCAGUUGUAUGAGUUAAUCCAGUUUUAGGACUGAACAAUAGAUUAAUACACACAUAUUUCGUUGUGAUUUGUGGCAAUUUUGCGGCAGGUACAAUGCUAAAAAAAUCAUUUCUUGUUCAAUUUUAUGGUCAAGAUCUUAGGUUGAUGAUAACUUGAUAUGUGGUUCUCCUGUAGCAUUAGUUAUAUUUUGGAUUAUCUUGCCCAAAACUAACUACAUGAAAAAUGACUACUUUAUUUUGUACCAUGUUAACUUAGGCCUGAAAUAUGAAAGUUACUUAUCAUACAAGAAGAGGCAAAAUAACAUUUGUACCAUAUUUGGUUCAAGUCUACCAGGUAAAUAAUUUCAAAUGAUCAGAUUGAGUUGUUUUAGAAAUGAAAAAUGGAACUUGUCCUUGUUUAUCUUUCCUUUUUGUGUUAAAAUAAGAAGAAUGAUACACCACACACUGCCCUUUGGUUAUUUUUGCUCCAUGCGUUUUGCAGCAGAUUAUUAUUAGUAGAUAUUUAAGGCUUUUUUAGUCUACCUUAGAUUUUUGACAUGAUUGGUGUUCACAUUUCACCAAAGAUCCUUUUGGAUGCUUUCUUGUAGAUACUCUAGCUCUCAAAAGCAGUCUGUAAGUAUCAAUGUAGAUAAUUUAAUCUUUAUUUCCGAUUGAUUUAAGAUACACACAUAUAUAAUGGCUACCAAUGCUCUGCAUCACCCACAUAAUUGUUGGUUCUAAUUGGCUUCUUGCGCCAUGUUUUCCUCUAGCGGAGAGUGAAAGCCACAACUUGACGAGGACAUUCCCACGGAAAAGCCUUGUAUCAUAAAACUUCCAAUUCAAUGCUAUUGCAUGCUUCUUCGCCUAUGACCGGCAAAGCACAAUGUAUAGGAUGUUUGGACAAAGAGCUACAAGGAGAGCACUCUUCAACGAUGGGAAUAUCCAAUGAAGCUGCAAAUUGUUGGGUGUAUGUAUAUGUGUACCGAAGUUCAGUUGAAUCCGUAAGGAAGAACCAAACAUUUAUUUCUAUCUUAUUAUAUGCUAUCUUAAAUGCAAAAGUGUGAGCUAUGUUAACAACUGUUUCAGUAUGAUGUUUGGAAAUGUUAAUGAUUGCAGUUUUUGCACGCUCAAGUAUAUAUUUGUAAAAAAAUCAUCUCAGUUUUUCACUAGAGGGGUUUUCAUUGAUGCCCUAACUGGUUGCUCAAACCUUAAGUUACUACUCCUUUUGUUCACUUUUAUAAGGCGUUGUUGAUAUUUUAAAAGUGAACGGAGAGAGUAACAAAUACACAUAUUUUCAAUGUUAGUUUUAAAUAGGAUUUUGUGCCGUCUGGCGCAACGAGUCAUAUUUUUAGCACCGCUAGGUCAUUUUGCCAUGUAAUGUUCUUAUACAAAUAUGUUUUUUUUUCAAACUCAGAUUUCUCAAUCUGAUAACCAUAUUUUCAACUAAAAAAAUGUUUCCUUAACUGGUCCAUACAUGUUAUACAAAUUUGAUUUUUUUUCAAACUUAUAUUUCUUAAUGUGAUAAACAUAUUUUCAAUAUAGCAUGAUUUAACACAUGUGCUUUCUACUACCAAUAUUGAAUAUGUUCUUGCAAAAUGGAAUUAUUUUCAUCGACAACAUGGCUUUAGCGGGUCUUUGCGCCAUUUGACGCAACGGGUCAACUAGUAUAUAGAAAAAGCCAGUGUGAUGUGUGUGGCUACAACUAGUCUGACUACACGUCCUCAUGUAAUAUAUCAAGGACACACCAUCUUACCAGAUUAAUCAUUCGACUUAUUGCAGUGUGGGAAAAAAGAAGUAUUGGGACUGCGUAUCCAAGCAAUUGAUGUCAUGGACUCCUUCAUAGAACCUUGUAAGCGAAAAAGAAGUUGCCGUGUGCCUGUACAAAGAGCUAGCGAUCCAACUGAAACUCCGUUGGCACAACAGAUAUGUUUUCAGAAACUUCCUUGUUUACCUGGUUUGUUGACUUGCUGCUGUAAUCAUCUUACCAACUUCAAGUUUUCACGUUCCAAUUGGAAGUCCAAUUGCACAACAGAAACUCCAAUGCCACAACAGGAUCCAAGAGAAACUCCAAUGCCACAACAGGUACCUUUUGGAAAACCUUUUUGUUUAACUGCUUUGCUGCUGCAACAACCGGUUACAAUAAUGUCAAUAACUACUUUUCAGCAUCCAAUUGAAACUCUUUAAUUUCUUGUUUGUUUAAUUGGUUUGCUAUUAUAACUCCGAGUUGAGAGGUUUUGCUAACUUCAACUUUCGAAAUCCAAUCGGAACUUCAAUGGCAAAACAUGUUAGCCCAAGAUCAAAGAGCGAGGUCCCCAUGGACGUUGUAUCAUCCCACAGCAGUGGCACCGGCCCAAUCAUGCAUCAUGAAUUGCCAACUGCUGAUGCUCUAGAGGCUAAACUAGUGGUAGAAAGAGAUUCUGCUUCUGCAUUUAGAGAUGAAGUUGACAUGUUGAGGAAGCAAACAACACAAUCACAAGAAGUACUCAAGACAACCAUUAAAUAUUUGGUGGAUUUCAAAACGAAGCAAGCUGAGACUGACCGCAUUGUUAAGGUCCUGAAGGAAAAAAGGAAAUUAAAUUCCCACUUGGUAAAUCAUAGGUGAAAUGUUCUUUCCAUCGUUGAAUAACCUUUGUGUUGUUUGUUCAUGUAAUCGAUCAAACCAUUUGUUUUAGAGAUCAUG